UACAGAGGCCCCGAGCGUUAAUCGGAAUUACUGGGCGUAAAGCGUGCGCAGGCGGCUUUGCAAGACAGAUGUGAAAUCCCCGGGCUUAACCUGGGAACUGCAUUUGUGACUGCAUGGCUAGAGUGCGGCAGAGGGGGAUGGAAUUCCGCGUGUAGCAGUGAAAUGCGUAGAUAUGCGGAGGAACACCGAUGGCGAAGGCAAUCCCCUGGGCCUGCACUGACGCUCAUGCACGAAAGCGUGGGGAGCAAACAGG
RNAcentral lists this ribosomal RNA (253 nucleotides) under uncultured bacterium. RNAcentral's name for it is "partial 16S ribosomal RNA". It matches the Rfam family "Bacterial small subunit ribosomal RNA", at positions 524 to 776 of the family's 1533-position model. The record is from RNAcentral.